RNAcentral lists this ribosomal RNA (415 nucleotides) under uncultured bacterium. Its description in RNAcentral is "bacterial SSU rRNA". It matches the Rfam family "Bacterial small subunit ribosomal RNA", at positions 29 to 453 of the family's 1533-position model. The record is from RNAcentral.
AAUGAACGCUGGCGGCGUGCUUUACACAUGCAAGUCGAGCGAGGCGGGUAGCAAUACCCAGUCGAGCGGCGAACGGGUGAGUAACGCGUGGAUUAUCUGCCCUCAGGUGGGGGAUAACCCGGGGAAACUCGGGCUAAUACCGCAUAACAUCUCCGGAUCAAAGGGGGCGCAAGCUCCCGCCAGAGGAGGAGUCCGCGUACGAUUAGCUAGUUGGCAGGGUAAUGGCCUACCAAGGCGACGAUCGUUAGCCGGCCUGAGAGGGUGAUCGGCCACACUGGAACUGAGACACGGUCCAGACUCCUACGGGAGGCAGCAGUGGGGAAUUUUGCGCAAUGGGCGGAAGCCUGACGCAGCAACGCCGCGUGGAGGGUGAAGGUCCUUGGAUUGUAAACUCCUGUCAGCAGGGAAGAAAUCU